GACGAACGCUGGCGGCGUGCUUAACACAUGCAAGUCGAACGGAAAGGCCCUGCUUGCUUGGGGUUCCCGGGGGGCGAAGGGGGGAGUAAGACGUGAGUAACCUGCCCUUGAUUUUGGGGUAACUUCAGGAAACUGGGGCUAAUAUCGGAUAGGAGCUCCCGCUGCAUGGUGGGGGUUGGAACUUUUCGGCGGUUGGGGUUGGACUCGCGGCUUAUCAGCUUGUUGGUUGGGUAGUGGCUUACCAAGGCAUUGACGGGUAGCCGGCCUGGGAGGGUGGCCGGCCACAUUGGGCCUGCGAUACGGACCAGACUGCUACGGGGGGCAGCAGUGGGAAAUAUUACACAGUGAGAGGGAGCCUGAUGCGACGGCGCCGCGUGCGUGAUGACGGUCUUCGGGUUAUGAAACGCUUUCGCCUGUGACCAAGCGUGAGUGACGGUAAUGAGUGAAGAAGCACCGGCUAACUACGUG
RNAcentral lists this ribosomal RNA (468 nucleotides) under uncultured bacterium. RNAcentral's name for it is "partial 16S ribosomal RNA". It matches the Rfam family "Bacterial small subunit ribosomal RNA", at positions 28 to 507 of the family's 1533-position model. The record is from RNAcentral.